Molecule: long non-coding RNA, 248 nt
Filed under: Lathyrus oleraceus (garden pea)
Lineage: Eukaryota; Viridiplantae; Streptophyta; Magnoliopsida; Fabales; Fabaceae
Description: Pisum sativum (pea) long non-coding RNA (PSAT_LNC018551)
Source: RNAcentral
AAAACCCGAAGAUAAGAAGUUUUCAAAUCAAACCUAAUAAAAUUCCAGAGAUUACAGGUAAGGGGGUUGGUUACACAGAGGGAAGGUGUUAGCACCCAAAGAGUCCUAGGUACUCCUAGGGAGCCCUUUUUCAUGUGUGUAUGUGUUUUUGGUAUAAAAGAUGUUUGCAACAAAUAGAGUGUGGGGAUGAGAAAAGAAUUCAUUAAUUAUAUUUUUGUAUUUGACAAGACCUUCCGACUUGUGCCUAU